RNAcentral lists this ribosomal RNA (99 nucleotides) under uncultured bacterium. RNAcentral describes it as "partial 16S ribosomal RNA". It matches the Rfam family "Bacterial small subunit ribosomal RNA", at positions 1386 to 1482 of the family's 1533-position model. The record is from RNAcentral.
CACACCGCCCGUCACACCAUGGGAGUCGUUUGCUCCAGAAGUACCUGAGCCAACUCGCAAGAGAGGCGGGGUCCCAAGGAGUGCACGGUAACUGGGGUG